RNAcentral lists this long non-coding RNA (456 nucleotides) under Ananas comosus (pineapple). RNAcentral describes it as "long non-coding RNA (ACOM_LNC017722)". Lineage: Eukaryota; Viridiplantae; Streptophyta; Magnoliopsida; Poales; Bromeliaceae. The record is from RNAcentral.
UAAAUUUUAAAUUCGAUAUUUUAUAUCUUUCAAAUUUAAAUUUGGUCCGAAAUUUAAAAUUAGAUAUGUAAAAUUAAAAUUUUAAAAAUUAAAUUUUAAAUUUAAUUUCAAAAUUUAAAAUUUAAAAGUUCAAUUUUUCAAUUUAAAAUUUUCAGUUUAAAAAUUUAAAUUCAAUUAUAGAGUAAUAUUAUUAUUUUCUAUUUAUAACUAUCAACUAUUCCACCUUAUACUCACAUUUUCAUCCAAACAUAAUUUUUCUAGUUCCAUCUUAUACUCACAUUUUCAUCCAAAAAAAAAAAAAUUCUUGUUCCUACGAAAAUUCAUACUUGUAUGUAUCCCCGGUAUAACUAGUUCUUGCUUAUACCUGAACCAAACGAAGCCGAAUCGUGUUUCGAACUCUUCAAGACUUCUAUUCCAUCCAUCAUAAAAUAUGCCAAUACUAACAUCUAUAACACU